UGGGGAAUAUUGCACAAUGGGCGCAAGCCUGAUGCAGCCAUGCCGCGUGUAUGAAGAAGGCCUUCGGGUUGUAAAGUACUUUCAGCGGGGAGGAAGGUGUUGAGGCUAAUAACCUCAGCAAUUGACGUUACCCGCAGAAGAAGCACCGGCUAACUCCGUGCCAGCAGCCGCGGUAAUACGGAGGGUGCAAGCGUUAAUCGGAAUUACUGGGCGUAAAGCGCACGCAGGCGGUCUGUCAAGUCGGAUGUGAAAUCCCCGGGCUCAACCUGGGAACGGCAUUCGAAACUGGCAGGCUAGAGUCUUGUAGAGGGGGGUAGAAUUCCAGGUGUAGCGGUGAAAUGCGUAGAGAUCUGGAGGAAUACCGGUGGCGAAGGCGGCCCCCUGGACAAAGACUGACGCUCAGGUGCGAAAGCGUGGGGAGCAAACA
RNAcentral lists this ribosomal RNA (427 nucleotides) under uncultured bacterium. Its description in RNAcentral is "partial 16S ribosomal RNA". It matches the Rfam family "Bacterial small subunit ribosomal RNA", at positions 355 to 774 of the family's 1533-position model. The record is from RNAcentral.